This 717-nucleotide ribosomal RNA is filed under the name Melanoderma boninense. Its description in RNAcentral is "partial 28S ribosomal RNA". It matches the Rfam family "Eukaryotic large subunit ribosomal RNA", at positions 142 to 869 of the family's 3401-position model. The record is from RNAcentral. Lineage: Eukaryota; Fungi; Basidiomycota; Agaricomycetes; Polyporales; Polyporaceae.
GUUGUAGUCUGGAGAAGUGCUUUCUGCGCUGGACCGUGUAUAAGUACCUUGGAACAGGACGUCAUAGAGGGUGAGAAUCCCGUCUUUGACACGGACUACCAGUGCUUUGUGAUGCGCUCUCAAAGAGUCGAGUUGUUUGGGAAUGCAGCUCAAAAUGGGUGGUAAAUUCCAUCUAAAGCUAAAUAUUGGCGAGAGACCGAUAGCGAACAAGUACCGUGAGGGAAAGAUGAAAAGCACUUUGGAAAGAGAGUUAAACAGUACGUGAAAUUGCUGAAAGGGAAACGCUUGAAGUCAGUCAUGUCACUCAGAACUCAGCCUGGCUUUUGCUUGGUGCACUUUCUGAGCGACGGGCCAGCAUCAAUUUUGACUGUUGGAAAAGGGCUUGAGGAAUGUGGCAUCAUCUCGAUGUGUUAUAGCCUCUGGUCGUAUACAAUGGUUGGAAUUGAGGAUCGCAGGGCGUUUACGCUCUUAGGAUGCUGGCAUAAUGGCUUUAAGCGACCCGUCUUGAAACACGGACCAAGGAGUCUAACAUGCCUGCGAGUGUUUGGGUGGAAAACCCGAGCGCGUAAUGAAAGUGAAAGUUGAGACCUCUGUCGUGGAGGGCACCAACGCCCGGAUCAGAUGUUUACUGACGGUUCCGCGGUAGAGCAUGUAUGUUGGGACCCGAAAGAUGGUGAACUAUGCCUGAAUAGGGUGAAGCCAGAGGAAACUCUGGUG